GGUUGACCUCGGAUCAUGUAGGGAUACCCGCUGAACUU
This 38-nucleotide ribosomal RNA is filed under the name Aspergillus fumigatus. RNAcentral's name for it is "partial 28S ribosomal RNA". The record is from RNAcentral. Lineage: Eukaryota; Fungi; Ascomycota; Eurotiomycetes; Eurotiales; Aspergillaceae.